CGGAGUCAAUUAAGAUGACUUAGUGGCGGACGGGUGAGUAACGCGUGGGUAACCUGCCUCACACAGGGGGAUAACAGUUAGAAAUGACUGCUAAUACCGCAUAAGCGCACACUAUCGCAUGAUAGAGUGUGAAAAACUUUAGUGGUGUGAGAUGGACCCGCGUCUGAUUAGCCGGUUGGCAGGGUAACGGCCUACCAAAGCAACGAUCAGUAGCCGGCCUGAGAGGGUGAACGGCCACAUUGGGACUGAGACACGGCCCAAACUCCUACGGGAGGCAGCAGUGGGGGAUAUUGCACAAUGGGGGAAACCCUGAUGCAGCGAACGCCGCGUGAGUGAUGAAGUAUCUCGGUAUGUAAAGCUCUAUCAGCAGGGAAGAAAAUGACGGUACCUGACUAAGAAGCUCCGGCUAAAUACGUGCCAGCCGCAGC
This 428-nucleotide ribosomal RNA is filed under the name uncultured bacterium. RNAcentral describes it as "bacterial SSU rRNA". It matches the Rfam family "Bacterial small subunit ribosomal RNA", at positions 67 to 518 of the family's 1533-position model. The record is from RNAcentral.